Molecule: ribosomal RNA, 250 nt
Filed under: uncultured bacterium
Lineage: Bacteria
Description: partial 16S ribosomal RNA
Rfam family: Bacterial small subunit ribosomal RNA
Source: RNAcentral
UAGAUACCCUGGUAGUCCGCACAGUAAACGAUGGAUGCCCGUUGUUAGUUCACUUAUGAAUUAGCGACCAAGCGAAAGCAUUAAGCAUCCCACCUGGGGAGUACGCCGGCAACGGUGAAACUCAAAGGAAUUGACGGGGGCCCGCACAAGCGGAGGAACAUGUGGUUUAAUUCGAUGAUACGCGAGGAACCUUACCCGGGCUUGAAUUGCAGACGAACGAUUCAGAGAUGAUGAGGCCCUUCGGGGCGUC